This 582-nucleotide ribosomal RNA is filed under the name Triticum aestivum (bread wheat). RNAcentral's name for it is "partial small subunit ribosomal RNA". Lineage: Eukaryota; Viridiplantae; Streptophyta; Magnoliopsida; Poales; Poaceae. The record is from RNAcentral.
AUGGUUGAGGGCUCCGCGUCCGAUAUUGCCAACCUGAAGUUCCUCCUCCUCUGCUUCCAACAGAUAUCCGGUCUGACCAUCAACUUCGAUAAGAGUGAAGUGAUGGUGCUGGGAUACCCACCGGUGGAGGCCCAGGGCAUUGCGGACCGGCUUAAUUGCCGCCUGUGUUCUUUCCCCACGACCUAUCUGGAGAUCCCCAUUAGUGACUCGCGCCUCACCGUAGCGGACCUCCGCCCUUCCGUGACCCGGAUGCAACACCGGGUCGAGCCCUGGAAGGGCCGGUGGCUCUCGAAGGCGGCUCGGGUAAUCCUCAGCAACUCCUCGCUGGCUAGCCUCCUCUGGUUCCUCAUGAGCUUCUAUAGACUCCAUGAGACGCUUCACCAGGAGGUGGCCAAAUAUCAGUCCAGAUUUUUCUGGGCUGGCGAGGGGGACAAGCAAAAAUACCAUAUGGUGAGCUGGCCGGACAUUUGCAAACCCAAGGACCAGGGAGGUCUGGGGAUCUUGUCCUCCCGUCGCAUGAACAUUGCUCUCCUGACCCGAUGGCUAUGGCGUAUCGCCAACGGGGAGGGCGGCCUCUGGCUU